Molecule: non-coding RNA, 4423 nt
Organism: Camellia sinensis
Lineage: Eukaryota; Viridiplantae; Streptophyta; Magnoliopsida; Ericales; Theaceae
Source: RefSeq, a predicted model, not a curated record
UGUCUUUGUAGUUACAAUCUUGCUUUGUCAUUUUCUUUUUGUAGAUACUUGUUGUCUUUGUAGUUACAAUCUUGCUUGUCAUUUUCUUUUUGUUUUCUUUAGUUGAUGAUGUUGACAUGAAUAGAUGUUGUCAAUAUUUGUUGGGCAUAUAAGCUAUAUAAUGGAGUUGCUUGGACAUUUCCAUAGUAAUUAAAGCACUGCCUUCUGAAAAGGACCUGCAAUGUUUUCCGUAGUUAAUGAUGUUGAUAUGAAUAGAUGUUGUCAAUAUUCGCUGGACAUAUAAACUACAAAGGAGUUGCUUGGGCGUUUCCAUAGUGACUACAACACUUCCUUCCAAAAGGGGCUCUAUUUCCAAUGAGCAACAACAAAGGUCCAAACUUAAUUAUAAAACUAUUUGUACUCUAAAAUUUGUUAUGUUCAUUAAAACAAGAGCCAUAAUUCUAGUGUUCAAAAAUGCGAUUAAUCACAUUAAAGGAGGAGGAAGAAGAAGAAGAAGAAGAAAUGGAAAAGCAUGGGUGGCAAAUGACAAUAAUGACACAUUAUCUUCUUAUUGUGCGAUGAGACGACAAUUAUUGUCACCUGAACCUUUUUCCCUUGCAUCAUCUCCUCAUUUCACAUCAUCGCUUUUUCACCUCACUGCUUUCUCUCUCCCUGUCAUUUCUCUCUCUCACCCUUUUUUACACCGAUGAUUUUGAUAAUAUAGGAAUUGAUGAUAAAAUGAUGUUGUUCGUCUUGCUCUUGAAAAUUUUUGACUAAAAAAAUAAGUUUUUCAAAUUUUUUUUGGGGUGCUUAAUACGUCCUUAAGCAAUUGAAGCUUCUUUCUGGUUUUUGUUUUUUGAGUCUUCAAAAUUUAGUAAGUCUUGUUUAGGUUAUAGGAUGAGAAAUAGGCUUUUUUCCCUUGAAAAUGUGAAGUCCUUGGGACAUUUUGUCAAGAAAAAAAAAUGUGAGCAUUAAGAUUUUUACAUGGCCGUUUUAUAAUUCAAUUCUCCAUUCACUAAUGCUGAGUGAUUAUAGGUGGGUUUUCAUUCUAUUCCGUUUUGCCAAAGUAGAAACUUCAUCUGGGUUUUGAAGUUUUAAAAAACCUUUCUUAGUUGUGGUCUGAGUAGUAGGGUGAAAGACAAAUGAUGAGGGGGAGAGAGAAAAACUGUUGAAAAGCCGAGAUGAUGAAGAAAGACAAGUGGAGAGAGGCAGAGAGUAAAAGGUGAAUGAUGGUUGAGCUAAGCCCUAGAGGAGUAACCAAUCAGAGAAAAGGGUCUUAAUUUAUAUUGAACAGAUGCACCACAUACAAGUUAAAACAAAAAGUAUCAUGGUAUGUCAUCCUUUUCUAAAAUGGAACUUUCAUGCUGGAGCAAGAACUAGCAUGAAAAUCAGUCUAGACCUAAAACAGACUUGAGGGCUCUUGCUACUGACAGGAAUGAACCUACUUCUCAAGACCAGGUAUGCAGCUUGUUGGUUGCAUUGAGUAUGUCGUGGUUAGUUAGGCUUAGUUUACUUUGUAAUGAAUGCAAACAAAAAUAGGCGGCAUUUAUGCUAACAAGGGGAGCUGAAGAUUUCCUUGCUACUUCAGUACUAAGACAAUAGCUGUUGUACUAUUAAACAAAAAUAGUUGUACUAUUAUGAUUAAGUAGUUGUACAAUAGAAUACCAUUGGCCUUGACCUUAGCUAAGUUCUCGAAGUUGAACAGCCCGUCCUUUAUAGAAUUUGAACACCAUCCCAUUUCAACCAAAAAUACAACCCUGUCUGGAUUAAAUAUAUGAAAUUUCAUCUAAGACCUCAUUACAUAAAAGUUGAUUUUAUUGUUUAUAUAUGACAGAGGCAAAAUUGCCUUUUGCUACACAUUCUCAUGGUACAAAUUCAUCCCAUGGUAUUCCUAAUUCAUGCAUUUUUGGGUAUUUAUUGUUUAAUGGGAUUGUUUAUCCAUGCCUUUUUUUUCCUUUUUGUUUUUUUAUUGGGUGUGCAACUAAACACGAACUAUGCGAAACUUAUCAAAUUACCAAUCCAAUCCCAACAACUACCAGGGUUAUCAAAUAAGACCUUAAUGUUGGUAGAUCCCAUGUAUGUCUUUGCAUUGCAAAUAGUAAUAUUGUUCAAGAGGGAUUCUCUGUUGUGAUUGGUUUAGGGGUCUACAUCAAGUUUUGUUUUGGCAUGGUUUAUGGUUCAAUGAUAAAUCUUUGAAAGAUGAGUUUCCUAGACUAUUCUUGAUUUUGUCUCAGAAAUAAUGAUGUUCUUUUGUUUGAUGGAAGCUUGAACAAGUGGUGUUUGCAAUUCAGGAGGAGUUUAUUUGUUUGGGAGAAUGUCCUUUUGGAUAAUUUAAUGAAUACUUAAUUCGCUUUGCUUCACUCUUGAUAUGGAGGAUAAGCUGUAAUGAAAGUGGGAUAAAAAUAAUGGAACCUAUGCAAUUAGAUCUUUUUAUAUUGUCUGUGAAAAUUUAUCUUGUGGUUUUGAGGUUUCUCCUCUCAAGUCGCAUCUCUUUUCUAGAAUAAUCUUCACCCAUUCAAAGUCAAAAUAUUUUGUUGGCAAGCUAUUCUAGGUAAAGUAGCCUCUCAAGAAAUUUUUAGCUAAUAGGGGUAAUCCUAAAUGAGUUUUAAGUGCUUUGUCCAGUGUGUUUGAGAUUUGUCAAAUCUGUAUACCAUCUCUUCAUUCAUUGUCAGUUCACUUGGGAACGCUGGUCAUGUUGUUUAAACCAGUGCGGGUGGUGUUUGUUCGGUUUUCCCUGCCUCUCUGUUUGAUAUUUUUAUGCGGUGGUUUGAUCCUUCUUUUCGGAACCUUGAGAAACGAUUUUGGGUGACCCUCUUCUACAUGGUUAUCUGGUUAGCUCAAAAUGCUACUGUCUUUAACCACUCAGAACAGCAUGUUCAUGAUGUGAUUCACCUAGUAAACUUGUGUUUCGCUCUUUAGGCUAAAGCUUGUUAUGUUAUUGUUAACUACCCAGUGUCUGGUAUUAUCAGCUACUUGACAGGAUCACGAAACUCAAACUGAAGCUUCUUUCAAAGCUGCCUUGACAAACAUUGAAGUGAUAAGAUGGUUGAGGUGCGAAGGGGGCUUGGCUCUUUUUUAUUGUUCUUCUUGUUGCUACUGAUAUGUUCUUUGAUGUUGCUGGUGGUGUAGGGUAGCUGUUUUGCUGUCUAGGGAGGUCUUUCUUUCAUGAAGAAUAUUUUUAUUGCUAUGGGAAGCCUUGAGUUAUAAUUUAUAAGGCUGUGUUGUCGCUUUUUAAGGCUGAGGGUUGUUCUUGACACUACAAGAAAAAGUACAUUGCACGGCGUUUAUAAUAUAGCGUUUUUGAAACGUCUUUGUUGAUUAGUCGAGCACAACGUUUUGUAAACGUUGUCUUACAUCUAGGUCAGACAACGUCAUUUAGCUAUGUAGUGAUCACGCCGGUUCAUAUUAAAACCUUCUCGCCGUUUGAGACCUUUCAAAACCAUCUCACUCCAGACUCUGAAACUCAGAUUCCCUUUUCAGAACUCUCUCUCUCUCUCUCUCUCUCUCUCUCUCUCCACUUCAGAUUCAUCAAAUUGUACAACCACCAUGUUCAGAAACUCUCAGUUUCCUCGAUAUUGAGUUUGAACAGAAGAUAUUGUGAAGGCUCUUGAGGUUGAAAGCCCUCGGCCACUCUCGGUUGAAUGAUCUACGUUUCUCUCUCUCUCUCAGAUCCAUGAUGGUUGUCGAUGAUUUGAAGGUUGAUUCGUGCAGAUUUGAAGAUUGUAUACAUCCGAGAACACAGAUCUGAGAUCAACCCCUGUCAAAACUGUCUUUCAAUCAAUUGAUCGAUCGAUUGUUUUCGUUCAGAACUAUAUUGAUUAAUCUUUUGAUUGAUUUUUGAGUCUCACUCUCUUUUUGCUUAUAAAUUUCUGCUUCUCGCUUUCAGAUUUAGAUUUGUUCUGCUUGCAUUUCGGCACUACACUUUGGCAUAAAGUAAAUGUUGCUGCAAUUUUUAUGAAGUAAAUUCAUUGAAGAUAUUUGUUUGAUUUUUUUUAUGUGGAUCGUUGGAAACAGUGAAUAGAAGCUCAACGAUGAAGAGAUGUAGAUCUGCCCUCUCUUCGAUCAGAUCUGCUUUCUCUCUCUCUCUCUGAUUUGCUAAUAUGCUUGAGAUCCUCUGUAAUUUGGCGAUUUGGAGAAGAAAAAAAUGUUCAGUGUGACUGUUAGGUAAAUAACCAAACAUGUGGUUGGACUUGGCCUUGGGGAGGUAAUAGUGACUGCAGUGUGACUGAUUUCUUUUUCUUUUUUAAAUUCAUCUAUAGUGGCCUCAAGUUGCUUGGGCAUUAAUCUUUGUUUAAGGGAUACCUUUAAUGUUUGGGAUUUCUUAUUUUAUAAGUAGAGAGAUUAUUGCUUGUUGAGACAAAGCCUUAUAGGUUAAAAGGACUAAUAAAUGUGAAUGCUUGAUUAACUGAUGUUUGGGAUUUCUUAUUGCAUAUGAAAGAUUUGU